UACAGAGGGGGCAAGCGUUGUUCGGAAUUACUGGGCGUAAAGGGCGCGUAGGCGGCCCGCUAAGUCGAACGUGAAAUCCCCGAGCUCAACUCGGGAACUGCGUCCGAUACUGGUGGGCUUGAAUCCGGGAGAGGGAUGCGGAAUUCCUGGUGUAGCGGUGAAAUGCGUAGAGAUCAGGAAGAACACCGGUGGCGAAGGCGCUCUGCUAGGCCGUAACUGACACUGAGGGACGAAAGCCAGGGGAGCAAACAGG
RNAcentral lists this ribosomal RNA (253 nucleotides) under uncultured bacterium. RNAcentral's name for it is "partial 16S ribosomal RNA". It matches the Rfam family "Bacterial small subunit ribosomal RNA", at positions 524 to 776 of the family's 1533-position model. The record is from RNAcentral.